AGAGUAUUUGUUUUCACCGAGAACUACUUCUGGAUGAAAAUACUUAAUUUGAGGGAAAACAAUGGCGGGGUGAGAAGAUGAAAGGGAAUAGAAAUUAAUUAAGCAGGAGGUUAAUAAGUACAUAUGGAGUAUGUCUAUUUAAAGGGAAGCAACACUUGAAGGAGUGAAAAGGCAAGAGGGAGAAGAUUCGGUGUUUACUAAUAGCAGCCCAGAUGGAAAGAUAAGCUCCCUCUCAGCAGCCCAGAUUCACAAUUCACACAGCUCUCUUCACAUCGUCCAUGUGACCUCUAAUCUGAUCAUCCAGUUGGAAGCUGCCAAUCAGAGAAAGCCGAGCCCUGCCCACGCAGGUGGAUGGAUUUGAUGAGUUUGAAAUAACAAAUGUUCGUUCUCAACUACUUUUAAUAUUUUAGUCAUAGAGAAAACAGCCGGAAUCACCCUCAUUUGUUAAUCAUUAAGAACACUUUACUGCUGAAAUUAAUUUGCUGGUCUAUCAAAAGCAAUAUCUGCAAGUGCCAUACACAAUGAUACUCAUUCAACAUCCUACUUCAAAUCAUUAAAAGAACGAAGUCACAGCUUAUUAAAACUUAAUGUAUAUCAGUAAGAAGCCCAAACACAGAUACUUCAUUAGGGCAUCCUGACAAAUGUAUCAAGGAUUCGGGAUGAUUUAUAAGGUAAUUCCCGUAAUUAACUGGAGUUUAUUGGCCAUUACUGAAUGACAUCUGGGAAAGAAAAUGCCAACCACCACAACAGAAAUAUGCUUACUAAAUCCUGAAAGGGAAAAGUGAAUUCUACUUGGAUUUUUGCUUUGGAUAAAGUCAAGUGACUAUCCUCACAUUCCACUGCCACUCCUGCUUUCCUACACAUUGUGGGAUUUGGUUUUAUAUAGUCCAUUCAAUUCAACAAGGGUUUUUUUUUUUUUCAGGAUCUCUUCUGGGCUACCUUGAAGAAAUAUCUGCCCUUGGGCUUUGCUACAUUGACUGGAAACUGUCAUCCCCCAACCCUGUUUUUGGAAAGCUCUGGACACCAUACUUCUCUUCACUGUCCAUCUUGUGGACCAUCUCUAGAAAAGAAAGAGACAGAAACAGAAGGGAUGGGACAAAAUGCAACAAUUGCUUAAGAACUGGAGUUCAAAUCUCUCCUGUAAAAUAAACUAACUGUGAACAUGGACAAAGCAUUGGACCUAUUUUGAAGACUACAGAUGUAUUACAGGAUUGUAUCUUUGUAAUGACCAAAUUCAAAAUCACGGCUAGGUAAGGAUGGGUGUAGGGUCUUAUGCCUGGAGUGUAUUCAUUUACAUAUGCUUUUUGGAAGCAGUUAGAAGAGUGUUAGCUCUGGUACCAUGUAACUGCCGAGGUGUCUAUUAUUGAGUCUCAGUAUCCCUAGUUCUCUAAUCUCUAAUCUCUAAUCUGCGGGCACAAUUUCUCUCUUUUUACUGGAGUCAGAAGUAAAAUGCUCUCAUAGCACAGGGAAGGGCACACUCCAGUAUGAAGGGGAACUACAUGGCCCUGGUUGGUACAUGAGCUUGCUGAGGCAGUUCUAGUCAGUGUUAAGAGGGGAAAUCAGAUCCAGCAUGACGGAGGGGCACCCCAAGCUGGGGAAGGGCAAGGAAGACCCAAGAUCNNNNNNNNNNNNNNNNNNNNNNNNNUUUUUCUC
Molecule: long non-coding RNA, 1653 nt
Organism: Monodelphis domestica (gray short-tailed opossum)
Lineage: Eukaryota; Metazoa; Chordata; Mammalia; Didelphimorphia; Didelphidae
Source: Ensembl